This 1055-nucleotide ribosomal RNA is filed under the name uncultured marine rappemonad. RNAcentral describes it as "bacterial SSU rRNA". It matches the Rfam family "Bacterial small subunit ribosomal RNA", at positions 211 to 1283 of the family's 1533-position model. The record is from RNAcentral.
GAAAGUGCCUAAAGACGAGCUCGCGCCUGAUUAGCUAGUUGGUGGGGUAAAGGCCUACCAAGGCGGCGAUCAGUAGCUGGUUUGAGAGAAUGAUCAGCCACACUGGAACUGAGACACGGUCCAGACUCCUGCGGGAGGCAGCAGUGGGGAAUUUUCCGCAAUGGGCGAAAGCCUGACGGAGCAAUACCGCGUGAGGGAUUAAGGCCUGUGGGUUGUAAACCUCUUUUCUCAAGGAAGAAUCAAUGACGGUACUUGAGGAAUAAGCAUCGGCUAACUCCGUGCCAGCAGCCGCGGUAAUACGGGGGAUGCAAGCGUUAUCCGGAAUUAUUGGGCGUAAAGCGUCUGUAGGUUGUUUAAUAAGUCUGUUGUUAAAGACUGGGGCUUAACCCCAGGAAAGCAAUAGAAACUGUUAGGCUAGAGUAUGGUAGAGGUAGAGGGAAUUCCUAGUGUAGCGGUGAAAUGCGUAGAUAUUAGGAAGAACACCGGUGGCGAAAGCGCUCUGCUGGGCCAUAACUGACACUCAGAGACGAAAGCUAGGGUAGCAAAUGGGAUUAGAUACCCCAGUAGUCCUAGCCGUAAACGAUGGAUACUAGAUGUUGCGUAACUCGAUUAUGCAGUGUUCUAGCUAACGCGUUAAGUAUCCCGCCUGGGGAGUACACUCGCAAGGGUGAAACUCAAAGGAAUUGACGGGGGCCCGCACAAGCGGUGGAGCAUGUGGUUUAAUUUGAUGCAACGCGAAGAACCUUACCAAGGCUUGACAUGUCACGAAUCUUUUUGAGAAGAAAGAGUGCCCUCGGGAACGUGAACACAGGUGGUGCAUGGCUGUCGUCAGCUCGUGUCGUGAGAUGUUGGGUUAAGUCCCGCAACGAGCGCAACCCUUGUCUUUAGUUACCAUCAUUUAGUUGGGGACUCUAGAGAGACUGCCGGUGACAAACCGGAGGAAGGUGAGGACGACGUCAAGUCAGCAUGCCCCUUAUGCCUUGGGCUACACACGUGCUACAAUGGCUAAGACAAAGAGCAGCAAGCUUGUGAAAGUUAGCAAAUCUCGUAAACUU